GACGGAGGAUGCAAGUGUUAUCCGGAAUCACUGGGCGUAAAGCGUCUGUAGGUGGUUUAAAAAGUCCACUGUUAAAAAUUGAAGCUUAACUUCAAAGAUGCCGUGGAAACUUUUAAACUUGAGUAUGGUAGGGGUAGAGGGAAUUUCAAGUGGAGCGGUGAAAUGCGUAGAUAUUGGAAAGACCACCAAUGGCGAAGGCACUCUACUGGGCCAUUACUGACACUGAGAGACGAAAGCUAGGGGAGCAAAUGGG
RNAcentral lists this ribosomal RNA (253 nucleotides) under uncultured bacterium. RNAcentral's name for it is "partial 16S ribosomal RNA". It matches the Rfam family "Bacterial small subunit ribosomal RNA", at positions 524 to 776 of the family's 1533-position model. The record is from RNAcentral.